Molecule: ribosomal RNA, 433 nt
Filed under: uncultured bacterium
Lineage: Bacteria
Description: partial 16S ribosomal RNA
Rfam family: Bacterial small subunit ribosomal RNA
Source: RNAcentral
AACGAACGCUGGCGGCAUGCCUAACACAUGCAAGUCGAACGAGACCUUCGGGUCUAGUGGCGCACGGGUGCGUAACGCGUGGGAACCUGCCCUUAGGUUCGGAAUAACUCCCCGAAAGGGGUGCUAAUACCGGAUAAUGUCUUCGGACCAAAGAUUUAUCGCCUUUGGAUGGGCCCGCGUUGGAUUAGCUAGUUGGUAGGGUAAAAGCCUACCAAGGCGACGAUCCAUAGCUGGUCUGAGAGGAUGAUCUGCCACACUGGGACUGAGACACGGCCCAGACUCCUACGGGAGGCAGCAGUGGGGAAUAUUGGACAAUGGGCGAAAGCCUGAUCCAGCAAUGCCGCGUUAGUGAUGAAGGCCUUAGGGUUGUAAAGCUCUUUUACCCGGGAUGAUAAUGACAGUACCGGGAGAAUAAGCUCCGGCUAACUCCGUG